AUGUAUGUCAGAAACACCGCUCGCAGUCUCCAUCGCAGCAAAACUCCGGCUCUCCUCAUAAAGCUGGACAUUGCCAAAGCUUUCGACACAGUUCGCUGGGACUAUCUACUCGACCUUCUGCGCCGUCUCGGCUUUCCUCCUAGAUGGCGUGCUCUGCUAUCCAGCCUCUUCUCCUCGGCCACGUCUAGAGUAAUCCUUAACGGUAUCCCCGGUAAGGACUUUGCUCACGGCCAAGGACUUCGCCAAGGAGACCCGCUAUCCCCCCUGCUUUUCGAUAUCGCCAUCGACCCGCUGCAACAAAUUCUGGAUAAAGCAAUUGCGUCUGGUUUGAUGAGCGAAAGUCCUGGAGGUUCACAACAUCCUCGGAUCUCUCUUUACGCUGAUGAUGCUGCCAUCUUCAUUGCCCCUUCGGUGCAGGAUAUAUCCUGCCUGGCAAAUAUUCUUCAAGGCUUCGGGGAGGUUACGGGCAUGGUGACCAAUGUGGCUAAGAGCUCUAUUGCCCCAAUUCGCUGCUCCGAUGUUGACCUCACCGCAGUUCUGGCAAACUUCUCGGCGGCUAUCACCCAGUUCCCUCUCAAGUAUUUGGGGUUGCCCUUGUCGCUUGGUAGACUCAGAAGGACCGACCUUCAGCCAUACAUUGAUAAAGCUGCGUCAAGGUUGAACCCUCUGAAAGGAAGAUUCCUAAAUCAGGCGGGGUGCUGCACUUAUGUGAAAUCUGUCCUUUCUUCCAUGCCGAUCUUCCUCCUGACCGCUAUCAAAGUGGAUAAAGGCUUCCUAAGGGCUAUGGCCAAGAUCUGUCGCGGUAUGCUAUGGGACUGCAAGGAAUCUGUCAGCGGUGGGAAAUGCAAGGUCAACUGGCAGAAGGUCUGCCGCCCUAAGGAGCUUGGUGGUUUGGGGAUCCUAGAUUUGGAAAGGUUCUCCCGCGCCCUUAGACUUCGCUGGCUUUGGGACGAAUGGAAGGCUCCUGAAAAACCUUGGGUAGGUUUUGAAACUCCUAACGAUGCCUCAGAUAGACAGCUCUUCAACGCCGCGACUCGUGUUACUAUCGGGGAUGGCAAGAAGGCCUCCUUUUGGUCUUCCUCAUGGCUUGACGGCAAGCCACCGAAAGAUAUGGCACCUCUGAUCUUCAAAGCUUCGAGGAGGAAAAACCGAACGGUCCAUGAUGCCCUUACUGACCAUACCUGGGUAGCGGAUAUUGCGGUGGAGGCCUUCACGGCAGAGCACAUUGGCCAGUUCGUCCAGCUAUGGGAUCUCAUCUCAGAUAUCCAGCUCUCCCCAGAUAUAGAAGAUUCCAUCAUCUGGACCCUCUCCCCAAAUGGAUGCUACUCUGCGAGCUCCGCCUAUAAGGCGCAGUUCAUGACCGCGCUGCCUUGCUCCUUCGGCUCGAUUGUCUGGAAAACGUGGGCGCCUCCCAAAUGCCGCUUCUUCGCUUGGCUCGCCGUCCAAAAUCGCCUCUGGACCGCGGAUCGCCUGGCCAAACGUGGAUGGCCACACCAGCCCUCCUGCCAGCUAUGCCGGUGCUCCCCUGAGACGGCGAGACACAUGCUCUUUGAAUGCCGUUACUCCAAGAGGAUCUGGUCCGCGGCGGCAUCCUGGCUCUCCUGCCCGGAAUUACUGCUUAGCAUGGGCUCUGGUCGCCCCAAGGUGGUGGACUACUGGCAGGCCUUAGCUAGGUCGCCCUCUUCCUCUCCCAAAGGUCUAAAAACGGCUAUCAUGCUCAUCACCUGGGAAAUCUGGAAGGAAAGAAAUGAGAGAGUCUUCAACAAGAAAUCCUCUCUGCCGGUGGUGGUCAUGCACAAGAUAAGAGAGGUAGCAAAAGAUUGGAUUCUAGCGGGAGCAAAAAACCUGGCGGAUCUUGUGGGCUGA
This 1866-nucleotide ribosomal RNA is filed under the name Triticum aestivum (bread wheat). Its description in RNAcentral is "partial small subunit ribosomal RNA". The record is from RNAcentral. Lineage: Eukaryota; Viridiplantae; Streptophyta; Magnoliopsida; Poales; Poaceae.